ACCGCACAAGCGGUGGAUGAUGUGGUUUAAUUCGAUGCAACGCGAAAAACCUUACCCACCUUUGACAUGGCAGGAAUCCUAAAGAGAUUUGGGAGUGCUCGAAAGAGAACCUGCACACAGGUGCUGCAUGGCUGUCGUCAGCUCGUGUCGUGAGAUGUUGGGUUAAGUCCCGCAACGAGCGCAACCCUUGCCAUUAGUUGCUACGAAAGGGCACUCUAAUGGGACUGCCGGUGACAAACCGGAGGAAGGUGGGGAUGACGUCAAAUCAUCAUGCCCCUUAUGACCUGGGCUACACACGUGCUACAAUGGUUGGUACAACGAGUUGCGAGUCGGUGACGGCGAGCUAAUCUCUUAAAGCCAAUCUCAGUUCGGAUUGUAGGCUGCAACUCGCCUACAUGAAGUCGGAAUCGCUAGUAAUCGCGGAUCAGCACGCCGCGGUGAAUACGUUCCCGGGCCUU
Molecule: ribosomal RNA, 458 nt
Filed under: uncultured Tepidimonas sp.
Lineage: Bacteria; Pseudomonadati; Pseudomonadota; Betaproteobacteria; Burkholderiales
Description: bacterial SSU rRNA
Rfam family: Bacterial small subunit ribosomal RNA
Source: RNAcentral